GGGGGGGGGGGGGGGGGGGGCGGGGGGGUGCAAGGCGGGCGGGCCUGUCGGGGGCAGCGGCGGGCGGGGGGGUAACGCGUGGGAGUAUGCCCUUCUCUACGGAAUCGUCCGGGGAAACUGGGGGUAAUACCGUCUACGCCCCUUGGGGGAAAGAUUGUUCGGGGGAGGAUUAGCCCGCGUUGGAUUAGGUAGUUGGUGGGGUAAUGGCCUACCAAGCCGACGAUCCAUAGCUGGUUUGAGAGGAUGAUCAGCCACACUGGGACUGAGACACGGCCCAGACUCCUACGGGAAGCAGCAGUGGGGAAUCUUAGACAAUGGGGGCAACCCUGAUCUAGCCAUGCCGCGUGAGUGAUGAAGGCCUUAGGGUUGUAAAGCUCUUUCAGCUGGGAAGAUAAUGACGGUACCAGCAGAAGAAGCCCCGGCUAACUCCGUG
RNAcentral lists this ribosomal RNA (433 nucleotides) under uncultured bacterium. Its description in RNAcentral is "partial 16S ribosomal RNA". It matches the Rfam family "Bacterial small subunit ribosomal RNA", at positions 38 to 507 of the family's 1533-position model. The record is from RNAcentral.